AGAAAUAAUCUGUCACGUUAUGA
This 23-nucleotide non-coding RNA is filed under the name Arabidopsis thaliana (thale cress). The record is from RNAcentral. Lineage: Eukaryota; Viridiplantae; Streptophyta; Magnoliopsida; Brassicales; Brassicaceae.